Molecule: long non-coding RNA, 4245 nt
Filed under: Sus scrofa (pig)
Lineage: Eukaryota; Metazoa; Chordata; Mammalia; Artiodactyla; Suidae
Description: lncRNA (ENSSSCG00015016148.1)
Source: RNAcentral
AAGAAGAGGUGGAAUUACCACCCAGACCAAGACAGAGAACUUUUCCAGCACUGCUCUGUCUCUUCAGUGAGAAGACCUCUCCCACCUCGGAUUCAGGUUGCCUGUUGAUCAUGUAAAUGGAAUGAUGUGGACAACGGGCAGCCAAGGGAGCGGGACAAACGCAUCAGGAUCGCUGUGUUGCCAGAUGGAUCCCCGGGCAGGCAUAGAGCCUGGUCCUGUUCCUCCUGGACUCAUUUCCUCUACCGUGGCCAUGGCUGGGGCCUUCAAAACAAAAAAAUGCCUCCUGUGGACUGUGGAUCUAUGAUGGAGGAUCCUGGCAUAUUGACUUUUUUUCCAAUGCCAACCAGCACAUACAUUUUUGCCACAGCGAAAAGGCGCCACAAAAGGGACAGAUGAGCGAAUAUGGUAAUGCGGUAUGUUUCCCUUGUUUUAAAAAAAGACACCAACCAGCAUAUCACUCAUUGGAAAAUGGAAAAAAUAAGAAAACAACAACAAAAUAUGUACAAUGCAUGCGUUGAAAUUGCAUGUAAUUGCAUAAAUGGUGUAACAGUAAUAAAGUUAAGCGAUUAAAAAAUGAAGAAAAAAAGACAUACGCCUUUUUCCCAUACACAGUAUUUUUAGAAAUAGCAUUUUUGGGUAAAUGUCCUUUGUUGAUUAGCAAUAUUCUGUCUCAGCUCAGCCUUGCCUGAAUACUAGACCCACAAAAUCAGCAACUAUUUAUGGUAGCGGUUUGGGAACUCCUAGCUCCUAGAAGCUUCCUCUUAAGCAGACCCUGGCCAGUGUGGUUGGAAGUUAGUUCCAGUGGAUGGACUGCAGAGAGAUGAAUGGCGACCGGUCAUGGUGGAGAAAACGGAUGCCUAAGAUGUUCGUGAAAGGGUGUGAUGGAAGACUUGUUGCAAUAUAGGAAAGGCAUUCUAGCUUACCCAUGAUUUAUUUGAGACAUGAUGCCAACUAGAACAGCCUAUUUUGUGGCCUGUCAAACAGGCAGUAUAUAUCGACUUUAACCAUCAGAGAAAAGAAUGCAUUUAAAACUCAGAACGGAGUAACGGUGGUUCAGGCAUCCAAAAUGAAGCCAAAUGCCAUCUCAAAUGUGGUUUCAGACAUGUUCUUGCAUCACAGAGAACUUCAAUAUUCUGAGCUCUAUCAGACUCCAGGACAGCACCAGCAAUUCUCAAAACAGUAGCUACUAGCCCUGCCGGCUGCAACCUUGUGGUCCCAAGGUCUCCUCUUGAAAGUAGGCAACCCGUUCGGACCUCCAAUCAAUCCUUGCUUAAGCGCCCACACGUCUUGCCAAAUUCAAUUCAAAUUCUUCACAACUUACAUUCUUUUGUGAUUUUUUUGUAUGUGUAUGGCCAUGCCUAGCAGAAACCCCUAGGCAGGAAAAGACCAGAAGAAAUUCUUGGUACAUUUCCUAAGUCAAAUAAGCCUAAGAGGAAUCCCUAGGCAGAAAAAGACUUGAAGGAGCUUUGGAGUGAACUGAUUUGGCUGACUUUUUUUUUUUUUUUUUUAGUGUGGCUUAAAAUUGGAAAGAUGUGUACUUUAUAAUAAAAAGAAACAUAAAGAAAAUGAGAAGUUGUGCAAUAUUUUUUUGUCUUUUUGGCUUUUCUAGGGCUGCUCCCCGUGGCAUAUGGAGGUUCCCAGGCUAGGGGUAGAAUCAGAGCUGCAGCCGCCGGCCUAUGCCAGAGCCACAGCAACGCUGGAUCCGAACCGCAUCCACCACCUACACCACAGUUCAUGGCAACGCCGGAUCCUUAACCCACUGAGCAAGGCCAGGGAACCAACCCUCAACCUCAUGGUUCCUAGUCGGCUUCGUUAACCACUGAGCCACAGUGGGAACUCCGAGAGGUUGUGCUUUUAAAGCCUCUCUGCUCCCUGGCAAGCAGCCACCCACUGGAACUCCAGCUGCCCUAUAUACCACUGGGACAGGGCCAAUCCUUGCAAGGACUUCCCUUGGCCCAAACUGGCCAGGAUAGGGCUCUUUCAACAUUCUGAAAUUUGUUUUCGUGUACAAAAAUAGAGAAAAGCAUCUUUUCAAGAUUCUGAGCCUGAGGGAACAACAAGACUCCUGGGAGAGAGUCAGCAGGUAUUAACUCUUACCUACCAUGUCCUUGUAAACACAGCUCAUACUGCCCGAGAUUACAGCCUCGGGUCAAUCGGUAGAACCUAAAAAUGAAGAAAAAAGAGGGGCAGAAUAGGCCUUUUUUAACUCAAGGAUGUAAGCAAAUUAUUCCAACUGUUAUUUAUAAAUGAGUGUGUUCAUAUUGUAAAACCUGAUGCAUGACUAAGUUUUAUUUUUUUAUUAUUUUAUUUUUAUUUUUUGCUUUUUAGGGCCUCGCUAGCAGCAUACGGAGGUCCCCAGGCUAGGGGUCAAAUCAGAGCUAUGGCUGCCAGCCUACACCACAGCCACAGCCACGCGGGAUCUGAGCUGCGUCUGCGACCCACACCACAGCUCAUGGCAACACCGGAUCUUUAACCUACUGAGCAAGGCCAGGGAUCAAACCCGCAACCUCAUGGUUCCUGGUCGGAUUCGUUUCUGCUGCACCCCGACGGGAACUCCGAAAGAGCUCUUUUUAAUCGACUUGAAAGUACUUACAAAUUAAAUAUUUCUAAAGGUCACAGAAACUUGCCCCAAAUUUUUGAAGGAUCACAUGAUCUGUGAUGAAUCUUGAAUGAAUGAAAACAAAUUUGUUUGUUUAAUUAAUAUGGCCAUGUCUUUAGUCAUCAACAUUAAGUAUAGUAUUUUUAUUAUACCUAGGCUUACUGAAAAUCAAUAAAUUCAUGAUAUCUCUGUUACUAGAUCUGUCAAAAAGAAAAAUAACUUGGUAUGAUUUUUUUCUCCUUCGUGAAAAAAGGGAGACAAUGGGAUAAAAGAUUUUAGGUGAACUCUAUAGAAUAGCUAUGCUUUAUGAUAUUAUGAUAUGCCUACUUAAUUUCUCCAGGUUUGUAGAAACUGGAAAAUACAGAGUUUCACUAAGUUCAGUUAAAUUAUGGGAGUUCACUGAAUAUCUAGGUUUGGUUUUGGGGGGCUUUUUUUUUUUUUUUUUUUUGGCUGUGCUGUGGCAAUGCCAGAUCCUUAAUCCACUGCACCACAAGGGAAUUUCCUAGGUCAUUUUGUUUUGUUUUGUUUUGUUUUUUAGGGCCACACCUUCAGCAUAUGGAGGUUCCCAAGUUUGGAUCGAAUCAGAGUGGUAGCUAGUGGCCUACACCACAGCCACAGCAACGCCAGAUAUGAACCGCAUCUGCGACCUAUACCACAGCUCAUGGCAACGCCAGAUCCUUAACCCUCUGAGCAAGGCCAGGGAUCGAACCUGUGUCCUCAUGGAUACUAGCCAGAUUCCUUUCCGCUGAGCCAUGGCAGGAACUCCCCGAGGUCAUUUUUUAAUGAAAAUAAAAUCCUGAAACAUUCAUUGCUAAAAAGCCUAAGUUUAUCCACUUUAGACCUCUUAUUACACAAAAAAAUGUUUGAGACUAUCAAUAAAUAUAUUGAAAGAUUGUAAUAUGAGGUGAUAUGUUCUUAAAAUGAAAAAAAUACUGUAUUUAUAUAGUAUGAUAUAUGGUGAUGAUAAGAGAAGGUAUAAACAAUGGAGAUUUUUGUUGUUGUUAGAAACAUAGUUCUUUUUUGGCCACAUCCACAGAAUGCAAAGCUCCCGGGCCAAGGAUCAAACAUACACCACAGCAGUAACCAGGCCCACAGCAAUGACAAUAUUGGAUCCUUAACCUGCUGAGCCACCAGGGAACUCUAAAAUAGUUUGUUUUCUGAAACUGGUUAUUUCUAAAUGUGAAAAAAAGGGGGGGAUGUGUAUUUUAUAUAUAUGUGUGUGUAUAUAUAUAUAGACUAUAUAGAAAGUGGUGAAAGGUAUGUGUCAUCAGGACUGGACUAAGAUUAGACUGAAUUUAAUUGAGUGAAUAAAUUUUGAUAUUAAAUGUGAGGUGGUACAAAAGUAGAAUUUGAGUUUCUCUCUGUUGAGGGGACUAAAUUUUCUGGGAAUCUUUUUUUUUUUUUUUAAUGUAAACAAAAAAUAGAGAAAGAAGUUUAUUUUCCAAAAUUUCCUGUGACUCCUUGGGAAUAUUGAUCUGCUUUUGUUACGACAUUGUAAAGUUUCAUUAUCUUUUAAGCAAACUUUCUGUAUUUGCUUUUGAAAUCUAUUAUUGUCACUUUGGUUACAUGAAUAAGUAUCAUUUCAUCGGGACCAAUGCUCCUACUUAGCCAGCAUUUAGAACACCUUCAUAGCUUUAAUAAACUGC